CAAUGUUUUGACUCUUCAUCUUAUUUGAAACUUCUUUUUAAUAUUUUUAUUGUUACUAGAUGAUAAAAUAUUAAUAUUAUUUUAUGCGUGACUAAUUUUUUUAUGUUUUUUACAAAUAAGACGAAUGGUCAAAACGUUUGACACAAAAUC
This 150-nucleotide microRNA precursor is filed under the name Oryza brachyantha (malo sina). Its description in RNAcentral is "MIR812 microRNA precursor family". It matches the Rfam family "MIR812 microRNA precursor family", at positions 27 to 190 of the family's 205-position model. Lineage: Eukaryota; Viridiplantae; Streptophyta; Magnoliopsida; Poales; Poaceae. The record is from Rfam by way of RNAcentral.